UACGUAGGGUGCGAGCGUUACUCGGAAUUACUGGGCGUAAAGCGUGCGCAGGCGGUUUUGUAAGCCAGAUGUGAAAGCCCCGGGCUCAACCUGGGAAUGGCAUUUGGGACUGCAAGGCUUGAGUGCGGCAGAGGAGACUGGAAUUCCUGGUGUAGCAGUGAAAUGCGUAGAUAUCAGGAGGAAUACCGAUGGCGAAGGCAGGUCUCUGGGCUGACACUGACGCUCAUGCACGAAAGCGUGGGGAGCAAACAGG
Molecule: ribosomal RNA, 253 nt
Filed under: uncultured bacterium
Lineage: Bacteria
Description: partial 16S ribosomal RNA
Rfam family: Bacterial small subunit ribosomal RNA
Source: RNAcentral